RNAcentral lists this unclassified non-coding RNA (231 nucleotides) under Hevea brasiliensis (rubber tree). The record is from RNAcentral. Lineage: Eukaryota; Viridiplantae; Streptophyta; Magnoliopsida; Malpighiales; Euphorbiaceae.
AAGAGGUAAAUUUUUUGCUGAUCCCUACAGAAAAGAUUAAAAAGUAUGAAUUAGGAGUCUACUCUUCAUUCUAAUAGAAUGUACCAUGGCAUUGAACUCUUUUUCUGUAGCUGAUAUGUUAUUUUGAAGCAGACUAUGAGUGGCACAAUCUGCAGAGAUGAAUAAAAAUGCAAUCCAAAGUAGAAAGAGUGAAAGAAAUAGGAUAUACAUGCAAUGAAACCACUUGACUGA